ACGGGUGAGUAAUGCGUAGGAAUCUACCUAGUUGAGUGGGAUAGCCUAGGGAAACUUAGGGUAAUACCACGUAAGCCCGAGAGGGGAAAGCAGGGGACCGAAAGGCCUUGCGCGAUUAGAUGAGCCUACGUCGGAUUAGCUUGUUGGUGGGGUAAAGGCCUACCAAGGCGAUGAUCCGUAGCUGGUCUGAGAGGACGACCAGCCACACUGGGACUGAGACACGGCCCAGACUCCUACGGGAGGCAGCAGUGGGGAAUAUUGGACAAUGGGCGCAAGCCUGAUCCAGCAAUGCCGCGUGUGUGAAGAAGGCCUGCGGGUUGUAAAGCACUUUCAGUGGGGAGAAAGAUCCUUGUACUAAUAAUAUGAGGGAAUGAUGUUACCCACAGAAGAAGCACCGGCUAACUCUGUGCCAGCAGCCGCGGUAAUACAGAGGGUGCGAGCGUUAAUCGGAAUUACUGGGCGUAAAGGGUGCGUAGGUGGUUAUAUAAGUUAGGUGUGAAAUUCCCGGGCUUAACCUGGGGACUGCGCCUGAUACUGUAUGGCUAGAGUACUGUAGAGGAAAGUGGAAUUUCCGGUGUAG
RNAcentral lists this ribosomal RNA (580 nucleotides) under uncultured Gammaproteobacteria bacterium. RNAcentral's name for it is "bacterial SSU rRNA". It matches the Rfam family "Bacterial small subunit ribosomal RNA", at positions 102 to 678 of the family's 1533-position model. Lineage: Bacteria; Pseudomonadati; Pseudomonadota; Gammaproteobacteria. The record is from RNAcentral.